RNAcentral lists this transfer RNA (72 nucleotides) under Candidatus Aminicenantota bacterium. RNAcentral describes it as "Candidatus Aminicenantes bacterium tRNA-Val". It matches the Rfam family "tRNA". Rfam says of the family: Transfer RNA (tRNA) molecules are approximately 80 nucleotides in length. The record is from RNAcentral. Lineage: Bacteria; Candidatus Aminicenantota.
GGGCGGUUAGCUCAGCGGUAGAGCAUCGGUUUUACAAGCCGGGGGUCGCAGGUUCGAGCCCUGCACCGCCCA